UAGCCGUAAACGAAUACUCGCUAGGUGUCGGCCACGGUGCGACCGUUGUCGGUGCCGUAGGGAAGCCGUGAAGCGAGCCACCUGGGAAGUACGGCCGCAAGGCUGAAACUUAAAGGAAUUGGCGGGGGAGCACAACAACGGGUGGAGCUUGCGGUUUAAUUGGAUUCAACGCCGGAAAUCUUACCGGGACCGACAGCAACAUGAAGGCCAAGCUGAAGACUUUGCCGGAUUAGCUGAGAGGUGGUGCAUGGCGUAGUCGUGU
RNAcentral lists this ribosomal RNA (262 nucleotides) under uncultured archaeon. RNAcentral describes it as "partial 16S ribosomal RNA". It matches the Rfam family "Archaeal small subunit ribosomal RNA", at positions 748 to 1009 of the family's 1478-position model. The record is from RNAcentral.